Molecule: ribosomal RNA, 450 nt
Filed under: uncultured bacterium
Lineage: Bacteria
Description: bacterial SSU rRNA
Rfam family: Bacterial small subunit ribosomal RNA
Source: RNAcentral
GUGGGGAAUUUUGGACAAUGGGCGCAAGCCUGAUCCAGCCAUUCCGCGUGCAGGAUGAAGGCCUUCGGGUUGUAAACUGCUUUUGUACGGAACGAAAAGCCUCUGGUUAAUACCCGGGGGUCAUGACGGUACCGUAAGAAUAAGCACCGGCUAACUACGUGCCAGCAGCCGCGGUAAUACGUAGGGUGCGAGCGUUAAUCGGAAUUACUGGGCGUAAAGCGUGCGCAGGCGGUGAUGUAAGACAGUUGUGGAAUCCCCGGGCUCAACCUGGGAACUGCAUCUGUGACUGCAUUGCUGGAGUGCGGCAGAGGGGGAUGGAAUUCCGCGUGUAGCAGUGAAAUGCGUAGAUAUGCGGAGGAACACCGAUGGCGAAGGCAAUCCCCUGGGCCUGCACUGACGCUCAUGCACGAAAGCGUGGGGAGCAAACAGGAUUAGAAACCCCGGUAGUCC